AGAAUCAACGCUGGCGGCGUGCCUAACACAUGCAAGUCGAACGAGAAAGUGGAGCAAUCCAUGAGUAAAGUGGCGCACGGGUGAGUAACACGUGACUAACCUACCCUUGAGUGGGGGAUAACCUAGGGAAACCUGGGCUAAUACCGCAUAAUACCUUCGGGUCAAAGGAGCAAUUCGCUUAAGGAGGGGGUCGCGGCCGAUUAGUUAGUUGGCGGGGUAAUGGCCCACCAAGACGAUGAUCGGUAUCCGGCCUGAGAGGGCGCACGGACACACUGGAACUGAAACACGGUCCAGACUCCUACGGGAGGCAGCAGUGGGGAAUUUUGCGCAAUGGGGGAAACCCUGACGCAGCAACGCCGCGUGGAGGAUGAAGUCCCUUGGACGUAAACUCCUUUCGAUCGGGACGAUAAUGACGGUACCGGAAGAAGAAGCCCCGGCUAACUUCGUGCCAGCAGCCGC
This 459-nucleotide ribosomal RNA is filed under the name uncultured bacterium. RNAcentral's name for it is "SSU rRNA". It matches the Rfam family "Bacterial small subunit ribosomal RNA", at positions 26 to 518 of the family's 1533-position model. The record is from RNAcentral.